UACAGAGGUCCCAAGCGUUGUUCGGAUUCAUUGGGCGUAAAGGGUGCGUAGGCGGCGCGGUAAGUCGGGUGUGAAAUCUCGGAGCUUAACUCCGAAACUGCAUUCGAUACUGCCGUGCUUGAGGACUGGAGAGGAGACUGGAAUUUACGGUGUAGCGGUGAAAUGCGUAGAUAUCGUAAGGAAGACCAGUGGCGAAGGCGGGGUCUCUGGACAGUUCCUGACGCUGAGGCACGAAGGCCAGGGGGAGCAAACGGG
This 255-nucleotide ribosomal RNA is filed under the name uncultured bacterium. Its description in RNAcentral is "partial 16S ribosomal RNA". It matches the Rfam family "Bacterial small subunit ribosomal RNA", at positions 524 to 776 of the family's 1533-position model. The record is from RNAcentral.